CGGGCCGUAGCGCAGAGGUCGACGCAUCUCCAUGCCAUGGAGGGGGACGCCGGUUCGAAUCCGGCCGGCCUGC
This 73-nucleotide transfer RNA is filed under the name Micromonospora violae. RNAcentral describes it as "tRNA-Gly". It matches the Rfam family "tRNA". From Rfam's summary of the family: Transfer RNA (tRNA) molecules are approximately 80 nucleotides in length. Their secondary structure includes four short double-helical elements and three loops (D, anti-codon, and T loops). The record is from RNAcentral. Lineage: Bacteria; Bacillati; Actinomycetota; Actinomycetes; Micromonosporales; Micromonosporaceae.